RNAcentral lists this ribosomal RNA (339 nucleotides) under Triticum aestivum (bread wheat). RNAcentral's name for it is "partial small subunit ribosomal RNA". Lineage: Eukaryota; Viridiplantae; Streptophyta; Magnoliopsida; Poales; Poaceae. The record is from RNAcentral.
AUGAGGAACUUGAAAGACGAAAGAACUAAGAUUUUUCCCUCAACUACGAGGGGAGGUAAGGAACUGCAAUCUAGCUCUGCACUAGAUUCUCCUUCUGUUUUGAGUAAGCUUGCGACACCUAAACCUGCUACUGUUAUGAACUCUGAUAUGUCGCAUGUUAUUGAUGAUGCCACUUCUGCUAUGCACGAUACUUAUGAUGAAACUACUUCUGUGCUUGAUACUACUGUACCAUUAGGUGAAUUUGUUGAUGAACAACUUGCUAGGGUUAGAGAGAAUGAAAUAAUUGAAGAUGAUAUCAUUGAAGAUAGUGAUGAUGAAGGUUCUCCCCCUAAAUAUUAA